Long non-coding RNA from Uranotaenia lowii, 620 nucleotides. RefSeq lists it as uncharacterized. The record is from RefSeq and is a predicted model, not a curated record. NCBI's taxonomy places the organism in Eukaryota, Metazoa, Arthropoda, Insecta, Diptera, Culicidae. The transcript is spliced from 3 exons.
GCAAGAAAGUUAAAGUGCGCCAUUGCAAUGCAUUGCAAUGGUGUGACGAACGCAACUCCCCGGAGAAUCAGCAAUUUUCGGGCGAAUCUAAAGUGACGCUCGAAAGUUAGUCAGGAAAACCGUUCGAUCCAGAAUCGGGAAGUAGACGAAGACGGACACGCUAAACGAGGAGUCGGCAGGAGAAUGGCUUGUCCGACCUGGAAGCCAACCGUCGUUUAUAACGAGAGGCCCGACACGCUUCCGGUUUUAAGCAGGUGGCUUAAGCGCCACUUCCGUUUGGAAGACCACCUACCCUUUCUUAUCUUGCCCAGCUGAUGAGACUCGGUCGCGAGUUCCUUUUGAUUCCCGAUUUUGGGAAAGAAGCGGAAGGGACUCUAAAGAGGGAUCCGUACUUCGACCCCUGAGGGCCGCCCCGAAGUCGAGACAAAACCCGAGAGAAGUUCGAGGAAAUGGGAGUUAGCUGUUCGUUACGAAAGCAAGCUAGGGGCGCUAAUCAUUGGACAAGACCAAACCCCUUACCUGGAUCUGAAGAGACAGAAAUCGAUUGGUUUCGCGGCCAAUCUCCGCAGCAAAGGAACAAAAAUAAAUCCCGAACAACGAACAGCGUGUGACUCCCUUUC